GUCUCCUUUUUUUAAUCAAUGAAACUGAUCUCCCCGUGAAGAAGCGGGGAUAUUUAUAUAAGACGAGAAGACCCUAUGGAGCUUUAAACAAUUAUAGCACUGGCCCACACUUCUUAUUCUCCUGAGACAUAAUUAUUAUAUAGACCAACAUGACUAUUAGUUUUAGGUUGGGGUGACCACGGAGCAAAAAAUAACCUCCAUGUUGAACGGAGCUACUCCUGAGCUAAAAGCUACAACUUUAAGCACCAAUAAACUGACAUCAAUUGACCCAACAUGUUGAUCAACGAACCAAGUUACCCUAGGGAUAACAGCGCAAUCCAUUUCAAGAGCUCCUAUCGACAAAUGGGUUUACGACCUCGAUGUGGGGAUCAG
RNAcentral lists this ribosomal RNA (372 nucleotides) under Dendropsophus anataliasiasi (Goias treefrog). RNAcentral describes it as "partial 16S ribosomal RNA". It matches the Rfam family "Bacterial large subunit ribosomal RNA", at positions 2018 to 2540 of the family's 2925-position model. The record is from RNAcentral. Lineage: Eukaryota; Metazoa; Chordata; Amphibia; Anura; Hylidae.